GACCUCGCAGGCCCUCAUCGUUGAGCCUCGGUUUGCACAUCUCUGAAAUGAGGACCGUCGCAGUGUACACCUCAUAGGGACACAGAGUGGGAUCUUUUCAUCUAUAGAUGAAUUAAGUCACAACAACAGGGGAAUGCUUUGUUUUCUAAGUCGCAGGACACCAUCAAAUCAUUGCUUAGAAACAACGUGUUUCUCAAUUCAUUUAGGGAUGUUCCAUUCUACGCAUUCUACAGAUGAGGAAGCUAAGGCCGGCAGGCACAGUCCAGCCCUUCCAUGUUCCAUGAAAGAGGACUGGAGCACAGCCACAGCGCUGACCCCAGCGCUCCCCCAAUACCUCCCUCCUGAAAUUAGGUGUGGCCCUAUCUAGGCCAAGUUCCCCGUGGAGAAAGAGCAAAGCGCUGGCGGUAAUGCUCGUCUCCCUUGUUUGCUAAUGGCUCUUCCUGGACUUGGUCUCUUGCCCCUUCUCCCUGUGACCUGGCCGAUAGAUGGGCCACAACUCAGUUUCAACCAUGGAAACCAGGACAACACCCAGGGGCUCACCCACCCGCCGGGACUGCUCACCUCAGACCCUUCUGUCUUCUUUAAUUCAUGGGAUUUUGGACCUCUUGGUUACAGCCACUUAGCUUUAUGGUAACGGUACACCAAGGUUGCCCAGCGUGGAGGUGGGUUGUAGACUCCAGGUUAUAAUACUUCAUUCUAUAUGCGGGGCCCUGUUUCCAGGCACCAGGGUUGAAGCAACAAACCGAGGCACCAAGGAUGCCGGCCCAAAGGUGGAUCUUUGAAAAAUGGCCAUCAUAUCAUCACCCCCGGUUCAAAACCCUCCGAGGCUUCCCACGGCCCUCAGGAUGCUGCCUGCCUUUGAUCUGCAAGCAGGACAGACUCUCUGCUGCCUCAGGACCCUUGCACAUGCUGUCUCCUCUCUCCAGAGUGCUCUUUCCUCUGUAUUUCACUGAGCUACAUCUGGAUGUAAAGCCACCUCUUCAGAGAAGCCUUCUAUGAUGCCCCACAGAAGCCACCAGCGUGCACACUUAGGAGGGCCUCGCAUCCAAGGCUCUGCCCCAAAUGCAGGCGUGGACACGUCACCGAAUUCUUGCGGCAAUCCUAUGGCUCCAUUUUACAGAUGAGGAAACUGAGGCUCAGAGAGCUAAUGCUCAUGCUCAGGGGCUCACUAGCUG
Long non-coding RNA from Mustela erminea (ermine), 1175 nucleotides. RefSeq lists it as uncharacterized. The record is from RefSeq and is a predicted model, not a curated record. NCBI's taxonomy places the organism in Eukaryota, Metazoa, Chordata, Mammalia, Carnivora, Mustelidae. The transcript has 3 exons.